RNAcentral lists this ribosomal RNA (415 nucleotides) under uncultured bacterium. Its description in RNAcentral is "bacterial SSU rRNA". It matches the Rfam family "Bacterial small subunit ribosomal RNA", at positions 355 to 787 of the family's 1533-position model. The record is from RNAcentral.
UAGGGAAUAUUGCACAAUGGGGGAAACCCUGAUGCAGCGACGCCGCGCGAAGGAAGAAGUAUCUCGGUAUGUAAACUUCUAUCAGCAGGGAAGAAAGUGAAGGUACCUGACUAAGAAGCCCCGGCUAACUACGUGCCAGCAGCCGCGGUAAUACGUAGGGGGCAAGCGUUAUCCGGAUUUACUGGGUGUAAAGGGAGCGUAGACGGAGGAGCAAGUCUGAAGUGAAAGCCCGUGGCUCAACUGCGGGAUUGCUUUGGAAACUGUUCAUCUAGAGUGUCGGAGAGGUAAGCGGAAUUCCUAGUGUAGCGGUGAAAUGCGUAGAUAUUAGGAGGAACACCAGUGGCGAAGGCGGCUUACCGGACGGUAACUGACGUUGAGGCUCGAAAGCGUGGGGAGCAAACAGGAUUAGAUACCC